Molecule: unclassified non-coding RNA, 854 nt
Filed under: uncultured bacterium
Lineage: Bacteria
Description: partial contains 16S ribosomal RNA, 16S-23S ribosomal RNA intergenic spacer, and 23S ribosomal RNA
Rfam family: Bacterial large subunit ribosomal RNA (bases 729-854)
Source: RNAcentral
GCUGGAUCCCCUCCUUUUAAAGAGAAAAGCCGAGUUGUUCGUCCAUCGGGUUCCGGUUCGCCGGGCCGGUGUUAGUGGCGACGACUCCAAGUCGACCCCGAUCGCUCUUGACUCGGUGCGACUGUCGCGGUUCUUUCCUGUCGGCGCGUAGCGCGGCAGGGUGCGUCCAGCCAUACCCUUUUCAUCCGGCGGGAUCCCGAUGACGGCGCAAGUCGUUCGGGGUUUCGCGACUCGAGCUAGGGGCUGUAGCUCAGCUGGGAGAGCGCCUGAUUUGCAUUCAGGAGGUCGUCGGUUCGAGCCCGAUCAGCUCCACCAGUUGCGCCUGUUCGACCGAGUGCGGCGAACGCUGUACGGCGCGGAAGCGGGCGUGUAGCUCAGUUGGUUAGAGCGCAUCCCUGAUAAGGAUGAGGUCGCUGGUUCAAAUCCAGCCACGCCCACCACGCCGGCGGGCGGCGGCGGGGCUCGGGGCCGGUUGGGGCCUGGGCGGAUGAGGCGUCAGGCGUUGGCUUCUCGAUCGGAGCAGCAAACGCCUGGAACCUCGGAAGCGCGAGCGACAUGGGUGUUCCGGAUCUUUGACAACAGAAUAUCGAAGGGCACAAAGGCAACAUCGUUGGAAAGCGUGGUCUUCGGCUGGGUCGGUUCGCCGGCGAAGUCGGAGAUGCACGCGCACCCAAAGUGCGCGCCUGAGAUUUGCUCGGGAAGCGGUUUCCGCUCCGGGUAAAUUUUAUGGUCAAGCUACUAAGGGCGUACGGGGGAUGCCUUGGCGAGAGCAGGCGAUGAAGGACGCGGCCAACUGCGAAAAGCCUCGAUUAGCUGUAAGCAAGCCCAGUCGAGGAUGUCCGAAUGGGGAAACC